RNAcentral lists this ribosomal RNA (405 nucleotides) under uncultured Sphingomonas sp. Its description in RNAcentral is "bacterial SSU rRNA". It matches the Rfam family "Bacterial small subunit ribosomal RNA", at positions 354 to 776 of the family's 1533-position model. Lineage: Bacteria; Pseudomonadati; Pseudomonadota; Alphaproteobacteria; Sphingomonadales; Sphingomonadaceae. The record is from RNAcentral.
GUGGGGAAUAUUGGACAAUGGGCGCAAGCCUGAUCCAGCAAUGCCGCGUGAGUGAUGAAGGCCUUAGGGUUGUAAAGCUCUUUUACCCGGGAAGAUAAUGACUGUACCGGGAGAAUAAGCCCCGGCUAACUCCGUGCCAGCAGCCGCGGUAAUACGGAGGGGGCUAGCGUUGUUCGGAAUUACUGGGCGUAAAGCGCACGUAGGCGGCUUUACAAGUCAGAGGUGAAAGCCUGGGGCUCAACUCCAGAAUUGCCUUUGAGACUGUAUCGCUUGAACACGGGAGAGGUGAGUGGAAUUCCGAGGGUAGAGGUGAAAUUCGUAGAUAUUCGGAAGAACACCAGUGGCGAAGGCGGCUCACUGGACCGUUGUUGACGCUGAGGUGCGAAAGCGUGGGGAGCAAACAGG